GUCUCACUGAGUUGCUUAGUGUCUCACUGAAUUGCUGAGGCUGGCUUUGAACUUGCAAUCCCCCUGCCUCAGCCUCCCUAGCUGCUGGGAUUACAGGCCUGGGGAGAUGGCGUUUUAAUUUGCAUUUCUCUAAUGAUUAGUGAUGUUGAACAUCUUUUCAUGUGCUUGUUUGGCCUUCUGUGUAUCUUCUUUGGAGAAAUGUCUAUGCAUGUUCUCUGCCCAUUUUUGAAUAGUUUUAUGUUGUUGUUGCUGUUGUUGUUAUCAACAAGCAUUUCACUCCUAUACUCAUACUAACUCUAGGUAACAUUACUGUUCCUGUUCACAGAUAAGGAAACAGAGGUGCAGAUAGUCAGUAGUUUGCCCAAAGUCACACAGUUGGUGCACAAUAGAUCUCUAUGCAAAGGGCUGGUGUUCUUCUUCACUGUGUCAUUUUGUCAAAGAACAGAAGGGCAUCCCUUAUCUCCAGGAGCAGCUGGGCAGGGGACAGGAAGAGGAGAGCUGAGUGGACAACAUCUUGCCUCUUAUGUCACUUAAGAGGCAAUCAUGGGUGCUGUUUAAGGCAAAAAUUAGAAACACCCAACCAGCUAUCGCCAUGGCAAUGGCAGUACUAACCUGGUGGCUUCCCAUAGCAACUCAACUCAAGGGAUCUUUGCUGAGCUCCCAAUUCCUCCCUGACCUGGGCUGGCACCGAGAUUUGGAAUGGACUAGACCCUGUCCUCUGAGGAGUGUUCAAUUUAGUUCGGGAGACAGACCUGUCACAUCAUAAUCAUACUUUUACCAAAGGAAAUUUCAUAAGCUCCAAAUUCCACCUGCUGUUUCCUACAGGCUUCUCUUCUGAUUCCAGUUAGUUAGUUAGUUAGUUAGUGCUCUUUGAUUUCUAACAGAAUCCUGGGUUGAACUACUUUCAGCAGGAAGGGAAGUGAAUGGAGGGAUGUGGGGGAGUCUCCCAAGCUCCAAGGGCAGGAUGCAAUGAGCCUCAGGGUGAGAACCAAACUGAAAUAUCAAACAGGCCCAAGAUGGGUGCUGUCAUGGUCCCCCCACUCAAAAAGAAACUGAGGUUUCAUCUCUGUCCUGGAAGUUCCAAAAAUCCUAUAAGAAGAUCUUUGACCCGGGCAGGCCCUGGUCCUCAUCCCUCGUCACCAGGACAUAGAGUGAAGGACAUGGGGAUUGUGCUUGCAAACAUGUGGAGGAAGGGGCAGUGGUGACAACUAGGAAAAGGUGCGUGACAGACAAUCCACCUGGCGCCCACACACUGAUCGGUGCAUGAUCAAGGCACAAACAUGUCUUUUGUACAAUUAUAAUGAUGUUUUCAAUAUCGUAGAAUUAUAGUUUUAUUCAACGUUAAUUCAUAUGUAUUUCUAAGCAGUAA
Molecule: long non-coding RNA, 1369 nt
Filed under: Marmota monax (woodchuck)
Lineage: Eukaryota; Metazoa; Chordata; Mammalia; Rodentia; Sciuridae
Source: RNAcentral